Molecule: ribosomal RNA, 115 nt
Filed under: Sinocyclocheilus grahami
Lineage: Eukaryota; Metazoa; Chordata; Actinopteri; Cypriniformes; Cyprinidae
Source: RNAcentral
GUAAUCAAUUUUCACCCUACAGCCCAAGACUGGUUGCCUACUGAAGCUAAACAGGGUUGAGCCUGUUCAGUACCUGGAUGGGAGACCUCCUGGGAAAACUAGGUUACUGAUUGAA